RNAcentral lists this ribosomal RNA (253 nucleotides) under uncultured bacterium. Its description in RNAcentral is "partial 16S ribosomal RNA". It matches the Rfam family "Bacterial small subunit ribosomal RNA", at positions 524 to 776 of the family's 1533-position model. The record is from RNAcentral.
UACGGGGGGGGCAAGCGUUGUUCGGAAUUACUGGGCGUAAAGGGCGCGUAGGCGGCCUGGCAAGUGGAAGGUGAAAUCCCUCGGCUUAACCGAGGAACUGCCUUCCAAACUGCUUGGCUUGAGUCCGGGAGAGGUGAGUGGAAUUCCCAGUGUAGCGGUGAAAUGCGUAGAUAUUGGGAGGAACACCAGUGGCGAAGGCGGCUCACUGGACCGGAACUGACGCUGAUGCGCGAAAGCGUGGGGAGCAAACGGG